CUCAGAGUGAACGCUGGCGGCGUGCCUAACACAUGCAAGUCGAACGAGAACGGAUAUUAGCUUGCUAAUAUUGUCAGCUAAGUGGCGCACGGGUGAGUAAUAUAUAGUUAAUCUGCCCCAAAGAAGAGAAUAAUUGUUGGAAACGACUUGUAAUGCUCUAUAUGCCUUUAUCACAAAAGUGAGCAAGGGAAACAUUUAUGGCUUUGGGAUGAGACUGUACAGUAUCAGUUAGUUGGUGAGGUAAUGGCUCACCAAGACAAUGACACUUAACUGGUUUGAGAGGAUGAUCAGUCACACUGGAACUGAGACACGGUCCAGACUCCUACGGGAGGCAGCAGUGGGGAAUAUUGCACAAUGGAGGGAACUCUGAUGCAGCAACGCCGCGUGGAGGAUGACACAUUUCGGGUGCGUAAACUCCUUUUAUAUGAGAAGAUAAUGACGGUAUCAUAUGAAUAAU
RNAcentral lists this ribosomal RNA (457 nucleotides) under uncultured bacterium. Its description in RNAcentral is "bacterial SSU rRNA". It matches the Rfam family "Bacterial small subunit ribosomal RNA", at positions 23 to 490 of the family's 1533-position model. The record is from RNAcentral.